RNAcentral lists this ribosomal RNA (274 nucleotides) under uncultured bacterium. Its description in RNAcentral is "partial 16S ribosomal RNA". It matches the Rfam family "Bacterial small subunit ribosomal RNA", at positions 523 to 796 of the family's 1533-position model. The record is from RNAcentral.
AUACGGAGGGUGCGAGCGUUAAUCGGAAUUACUGGGCGUAAAGGGCACGUAGGCGGCUUAAUAAGUCAGAUGUGAAAGCCCUGGGCUUAACCUGGGAACUGCAUUUGAAACGGUUAGGCUAGAGUUUGAUAGAGGGGAGUGGAAUUUCCGGUGUAGCGGUGAAAUGCGUAGAGAUCGGAAGGAACACCAGUGGCGAAGGCGACUCCCUGGAUUAAAACUGACGCUGAGGUGCGAAAGCGUGGGUAGCAAACAGGAUUAGAUACCCCAGUAGUCC